CCUACGGGGGGCAGCAGUGGGGAAUAUUGGACAAUGGGGGCAACCCUGAUCCAGCCAUGCCGCGUGUGUGAAGAAGGCCCUCGGGUUGUAAAGCACUUUCAGUGAGGAAGAACGCCUGGUGGUUAAUACCCAUCAGGAAAGACAUCACUCACAGAAGAAGCACCGGCUAACUCCGUGCCAGCAGCCGCGGUAAUACGGAGGGUGCGAGCGUUAAUCGGAAUUACUGGGCGUAAAGCGCGCGUAGGUGGCUUGAUAAGCCGGUUGUGAAAGCCCCGGGCUCAACCUGGGAACGGCAUCCGGAACUGUCAAGCUAGAGCGCAGGAGAGGAAGGUAGAAUUCCCGGUGUAGCGGUGAAAUGCGUAGAGAUCGGGAGGAAUACCAGUGGCGAAGGCGGCCUUCUGGACUGACACUGACACUGAGGUGCGAAAGCGUGGGUAGCAAACAGGAUUAGAUACCCGAGUAGUC
This 465-nucleotide ribosomal RNA is filed under the name Vreelandella stevensii. Its description in RNAcentral is "partial 16S ribosomal RNA". It matches the Rfam family "Bacterial small subunit ribosomal RNA", at positions 338 to 795 of the family's 1533-position model. The record is from RNAcentral. Lineage: Bacteria; Pseudomonadati; Pseudomonadota; Gammaproteobacteria; Oceanospirillales; Halomonadaceae.